GUUCCAGUAGCGCAGUGGUUCGGGCACAGCUCCGGAAAGGUUGGAACGCGGGUUCUAUUCCCACCUGGGAUG
RNAcentral lists this transfer RNA (72 nucleotides) under Nippostrongylus brasiliensis. It matches the Rfam family "tRNA". Rfam says of the family: Transfer RNA (tRNA) molecules are approximately 80 nucleotides in length. Their secondary structure includes four short double-helical elements and three loops (D, anti-codon, and T loops). Further hydrogen bonds mediate the characteristic L-shaped molecular structure. tRNAs have two regions of fundamental functional importance: the anti-codon, which is responsible for specific mRNA codon recognition, and the 3' end, to which the tRNAs corresponding amino acid is attached (by aminoacyl-tRNA synthetases). tRNAs cope with the degeneracy of the genetic code in two manners: having more than one tRNA (with a specific anti-codon) for a particular amino acid; and 'wobble' base-pairing, i.e. permitting non-standard base-pairing at the 3rd anti-codon position. The record is from Rfam by way of RNAcentral. Lineage: Eukaryota; Metazoa; Nematoda; Chromadorea; Rhabditida; Heligmosomidae.